AGUACGGUCGCAAGAUUAAAACUCAAAGGAAUUGACGGGGACCCGCACAAGCGGUGGAUGAUGUGGAUUAAUUCGAUGCAACGCGAAAAACCUUACCUACCCUUGACAUGUCUGGAAUGCCGAAGAGAUUUGGCAGUGUCGCAAGAAACCGGAACACAGGUGCUGCAUGGCUGUCGUCAGCUCGUGUCGUGAGAUGUUGGGUUAAGUCCCGCAACGAGCGCAACCCUUGUCAUUAGUUGCUACGAAAGGGCACUCUAAUGAGACUGCCGGUGACAAACCGGAGGAAGGUGGGGAUGACGUCAAGUCCUCAUGGCCCUUAUGGGUAGGGCUUCACACGUCAUACAAUGGUCGGGACAGAGGGUCGCCAACCCGCGAGGGGGAGCCAAUCCCAGAAACCCGAUCGUAGUCCGGAUCGCAGUCUGCAACUCGACUGCGUGAAGUCGGAAUCGCUAGUAAUCGCGGAUCAGCAUGUCGCGGUGAAUACGUUCCCGGGUCUUGUACACACCGCCCGUCACACCAUGGGAGUGGGUUUUACCAGAAGUAGUUAGCCUAACCGCAAGGGGGGCGAUUACCACGGUAGGAUUCAUGACUGGGGUGAAGUCGUAACAAGGUAACCAAGGGCGAAUUCCAG
Molecule: ribosomal RNA, 631 nt
Filed under: uncultured Bordetella sp.
Lineage: Bacteria; Pseudomonadati; Pseudomonadota; Betaproteobacteria; Burkholderiales; Alcaligenaceae
Description: bacterial SSU rRNA
Rfam family: Bacterial small subunit ribosomal RNA
Source: RNAcentral